This 77-nucleotide transfer RNA is filed under the name Grimontia sp. AD028. RNAcentral's name for it is "tRNA-Val". It matches the Rfam family "tRNA". From Rfam's summary of the family: Transfer RNA (tRNA) molecules are approximately 80 nucleotides in length. Their secondary structure includes four short double-helical elements and three loops (D, anti-codon, and T loops). The record is from RNAcentral. Lineage: Bacteria; Pseudomonadati; Pseudomonadota; Gammaproteobacteria; Vibrionales; Vibrionaceae. RNAcentral also lists the same sequence under 3 other names.
GCGUCCGUAGCUCAGUUGGUUAGAGUACUACCUUGACAUGGUAGGGGUCGGCAGUUCGAGUCUGCCCGGACGCACCA